This 66-nucleotide transfer RNA is filed under the name Caudoviricetes sp. RNAcentral's name for it is "tRNA-OTHER". It matches the Rfam family "tRNA". From Rfam's summary of the family: Transfer RNA (tRNA) molecules are approximately 80 nucleotides in length. Their secondary structure includes four short double-helical elements and three loops (D, anti-codon, and T loops). Further hydrogen bonds mediate the characteristic L-shaped molecular structure. tRNAs have two regions of fundamental functional importance: the anti-codon, which is responsible for specific mRNA codon recognition, and the 3' end, to which the tRNAs corresponding amino acid is attached (by aminoacyl-tRNA synthetases). tRNAs cope with the degeneracy of the genetic code in two manners: having more than one tRNA (with a specific anti-codon) for a particular amino acid; and 'wobble' base-pairing, i.e. permitting non-standard base-pairing at the 3rd anti-codon position. Lineage: Duplodnaviria; Heunggongvirae; Uroviricota; Caudoviricetes. The record is from RNAcentral.
GCCUCUCUAGUUUAGUAGGGAGAACAAUGGGAAACCAUAGGGGCGGUUCGAGUCCGUAAAGAGGCA